CCUUUACAGGGCAACUUUAGAGGUGGCAGAUUCCAGCCCCAUUAUAAGUCAGGCCUAGUACAGAAGAGCUUGUACAUUCAGGCUAAAUACCAGCGUUUACGGUUUGCUGGUCCAAGGGGAUUUAUCACUAAUAAAUUCAGAGAAAGAUUACUGAGGAAAAAAAAGGAAUAUACAAACGUUGCCACAGAAAACUAAUCUGGAAUUGUUACAAAUGGAAACAACACUGCAGGAGAUUGUUUGGGAAUAUCUCUUUUUGUCAGGAGUUAGAAUUGGCACUAAGACAUUAAUACUGUAACUUUCUUGAUAAAAUAACUUUAUUUUUCAGUAGUGGAAUGCUGCAACUUUUUUACACUUAACAAUUGCUUUUAAAUUACAGUAUUCAAUUUAAAAGUUGUAUUAACUACAGUUUCUUUUGCAAAAAAUCUCAAAAGAAUCACUUGAAGGGCAUUAUUUGUUGACCCAUUUUUCUCUGAGCAUGGUUUCAUCAAAAGAACUUAACCAAGUUAUAUUCAGACAUUUAUAUGUUGGAAGUUUCGCUUACGUAAUAAAAAUAAAAACAAAAGUGUCUGAAUUGUAUAGUGUCUGUACAUGAAAGAACUUUAAACAGUGGCCUUAUGGUAGCAAAUUUUAUACUGGAUUUUUCUUUUUCUGAUGACAUUUUGGCUUACAACUUGAAGUUUUCUUAAGUUUCUGAAGAUCAAGGCCUAUAUUAUUCAUACAUUUCAUAUUAUGAUAUAAGAAGGCAAGAGAAAAGGUGCUUCAAAUUUUCCAUCAGGUAGUUGCGAGUGCACUGAAUUUUUAGUAAAUAUGUUCAUUCAGUUUUUCCCACAACUAUUUGCUCUUUUCCAAUUUCAAAAUGCUAUUGUGGAAAAUAUGUAAAGAUUUUGUAAUCUAUAUUCCAUCUUAUUCUUCCCUCAGGGCGAGCUUGUGCAUAUCAUAUUUUUAAAGGCUUUUUAAAAAUCUAACAGACAAAAUCUCAUAUUUGAAAAUUGUACUUUACUAUUACAGCAUUUACACAUUUUGCAAGCACAUCUUAUAGUGUUUAUUUUCAGUUCAGUUGAUAUGUAUGGCGUACCUACUAUGUGUAAGAUAAAAUUGAUGGGAUUUUAAAUGAAACUUUCAGGUUCCAAUACCUUAUUUCUUUAUGUUUUCUGUGUUCUGCUUAACAGUGCAUAUACAUUCCCAAUUAAGUUUUUGUGAAAUGUUUAUUUGUAAUAAAAUAAAAUAUUGUUGCUCUUUCUGCUUGAGGAAGUUA
Molecule: long non-coding RNA, 1255 nt
Organism: Galeopterus variegatus (Sunda flying lemur)
Lineage: Eukaryota; Metazoa; Chordata; Mammalia; Dermoptera; Cynocephalidae
Exons: 2
Source: RefSeq, a predicted model, not a curated record